AAAGCGUGCGUAGGCGGCUUUUUAAGUCGGAUGUGAAAUCCCCGAGCUUAACUUGGGAAUUGCAUUCGAUACUGGGAAGCUAGAGUAUGGGAGAGGAUGGUAGAAUUCCAGGUGUAGCGGUGAAAUGCGUAGAGAUCUGGAGGAAUACCGAUGGCGAAGGCAGCCAUCUGGCCUAAUACUGACGCUGAGGUACGAAAGCAUGGGGAGCAAACAGGAUUAGAUACCCCUGU
Molecule: ribosomal RNA, 230 nt
Filed under: uncultured bacterium
Lineage: Bacteria
Description: partial 16S ribosomal RNA
Rfam family: Bacterial small subunit ribosomal RNA
Source: RNAcentral